RNAcentral lists this ribosomal RNA (463 nucleotides) under uncultured bacterium. RNAcentral describes it as "partial 16S ribosomal RNA". It matches the Rfam family "Bacterial small subunit ribosomal RNA", at positions 28 to 507 of the family's 1533-position model. The record is from RNAcentral.
GACGAACGCUGGCGGCGUGCUUAACACAUGCAAGUCGAACGGAAAGGCCUUUUCGGAGGUACUCGAGUGGCGAACGGGUGAGUAACACGUGGGUGAUCUGCCCUGCACUCUGGGAUAAGCCUGGGAAACUGGGUCUAAUACCGGAUAGGACCGCACUUUAGUGUGUGUGGUGGAAAGUUUUUUCGGUGUAGGAUGAGCCCGCGGCCUAUCAGCUUGUUGGUGGGGUAAUGGCCUACCAAGGCGGCGACGGGUAGCCGGACUGGGAGGUUGGUCGGCCACAUUGGGGCUGAGAUACGGCCCAGACUCCUACGGGAGGCAGCAGUGGGGAAUAUUGCACAAUGGGCGCAAGCCUGAUGCAGCGACGCCGCGUGGGGGAUGACGGCCUUCGGGUUGUAAACUCCUUUCGCCAGGGACGAAGCGUUUUGUGACGGUACCUGGAGAAGAAGCACCGGCUAACUACGUG